Molecule: ribosomal RNA, 301 nt
Filed under: uncultured bacterium
Lineage: Bacteria
Description: partial 16S ribosomal RNA
Rfam family: Bacterial small subunit ribosomal RNA
Source: RNAcentral
CAGUCGCCACGGUAAUACGUAGGUGGCAAGCGUUGUCCGGAAUUAUUGGGCGUAAAGGGCUCGCAGGCGGCUACUCAAGUCAGGGGUGAAAGCCCAGGGCUCAACCCCGGAACUGCCUUUGAAACUAGAUAGCUUGAAUCUUGGAGAGGCGAGUGGAAUUCCGAGUGUAGAGGUGAAAUUCGUAGAUAUUCGGAAGAACACCAGUGGCGAAGGCGACUCGCUGGACAAGUAUUGACGCUGAGGUGCGAAAGCGUGGGGAGCAAACAGGAUUAGAUACCCGCGUAGUCCCUGUCCUUAUACA